CCCUUAGAUGUUCUGGGCCGCACGCGCGCUACACUGAUUCAUGCAACAAGUUUUGUCCUUGGCUGAUAGGCCUGGGUAAUCUUUGAACGUGAAUCGUGAUGGGGAUAGAUGAUUGCAAUUAUUCAUCUUCAACGAGGAAUUCCUAGUAAACGCAAGUCAUCAGCUUGCAUUGAUUACGUCCCUGCCCUUUGUACACACCGCCCGUCGCUCCUACCGAUUGAAUGGUCCGGUGAAAUCUUCGGAUCUGAGAGAUGUCUGAUUAAUUUCGGACGCCUUUUGGAAAAGUUGUUUAAACCUUACCAUUUAGAGGAAGGUGAAGUCGUAACA
Molecule: ribosomal RNA, 327 nt
Filed under: uncultured eukaryote
Lineage: Eukaryota
Description: partial 18S ribosomal RNA
Rfam family: Eukaryotic small subunit ribosomal RNA
Source: RNAcentral